This is a long non-coding RNA of Athene cunicularia (burrowing owl), 6626 nucleotides long. RefSeq lists it as uncharacterized. NCBI's taxonomy places the organism in Eukaryota, Metazoa, Chordata, Aves, Strigiformes, Strigidae. The record is from RefSeq and is a predicted model, not a curated record. The transcript is spliced from 3 exons.
CAAAGUGACUCGAAUAGUCGUGGCUGGGUUUGGCUGCCCUAUUGAUAGCGGUCCUAUUUUUUGCUCUACCGUGUUAGCAUGCAGAAGGCAGGGCUAAAUCCGAACCCGAGGGAAUGAGGUACUGAGGAAAAUGGAUGUUGGAGGAAUCUGCUGCUUUCUUGCAAAUCAGCAAGACCUGCACUGUAGCAAGGAUAUCCUGAAGCGAGGAACCGUGCAAUGUAAAGGAGAAUCUCUGUUUCAAAUGAUCUGGAAGGUGUAUUUCCAGUCUCUUCUGUUCACAGAUAGCCCUGGGAAUGUAAACUGAUGCAAACAGGAUCACCAGGAUUAGAAGCUGUUCACAGACUCCUAAAAAGGAACUGCUAUUCACAGUUCUCUUGCAAGCACUUAGAGAUGGCUUUGAGGGAUCGUGAAACAUUGCCGUAUGUCCCCUGCGUGUUGGGGGAAGACCCCAGAGUGAACUCUAAGGCGUAAGAGCAUUCAAAGCCCACACACUUAUGACUUUAUUGGAAAGUUUUAGGGGAGACCUUCCUCCAUCUUAUUGCCUAGUGCGUCAUUAAUGCUUUGUGACAGGUGAUUGACUGAGCAGGAACUGGCAUUUAAGUAAGGGGAGAGAUGGUUAUAGGAGAAUGUGAGAGAAGGCAUGCACAGAAAGACAGGGGAGGUGAAAACACCUGAACUAUAUUUAGGGAAGAGUGGAAGUGAUGGGUUUAGAAAUUGUGCUGGUAUGCUGUCUCCUUUCAGAGACACUACUGAGCAGCAUUAUUUCAGUCUUGCCUCACAGAAACAGAGUCCAGGGACACCAAUGGAAAUAAUGUGCUUUUGUCAUUAAUGUGUUCUAGGAAGCAACCAGGGAUGGCUAUGGGCACACUCACAUAUGUAUGUACACACACAUACACAGAGCUACCUUGUCCUUGUUAGGAGAGACUUCAGGCAGAGAUUGCUUAUCUUGCAGAAUAGAGGAAGCUGUUUUAACUCAUAAGCCAAGCCCUGUGCAGAGUUCUGUCUUUGCAGUGGCCAUCAUCGACCUUUGAGCUCAGCUGGAUAAACGCAGUGAAAAAAUAAGGGUCAUAGACAAUGUCCUGGCCUAUCCAGGUCAUAGCAUUUAUUCUUAAGGGAAUGCUAACUACAAAGAAAAAGCAUCCUGGUUUGGAUGACUGGGGAUGGAGCAAACCAGCUUGGAAGUCUUGUCAUGGUGCUUGGAUGCCUAUCAGAUGAUGUGAUUUUUACUGCAUGGAGUGGACCCAAUGCAUUCAUUCACUGUUUCUGCACCUUUAAUUUGCUUGACCAGCCUCAUUAGCCUAGUUUCUACUAAUAAGUCUUUGUCAUGAAUUAAACAGAGACCUACUGCCAUGGAUUGAUAAUCUAAAAACAAGCAGCUAGAAUUGGAAAGAAACCUGUUUUCGAGCAGAUGUGUUGACUGGUGGACAAAAAUGGUUAAGACGAGCCUUGACCUUCCAGAGAGCAUGUGCCAAAGGAAAAUGCAGCAGAAAGGUUUUUUGCCUAACAUGAAAGACUAUGCAGGGAUCUCCUCACAAAACUUCAAGAGGUAAUAGAGUUGCAUAAACCUCCAUAAUAAGAAAAUUAAAUGAAGGUGGGGUAUUCAUUCAGAAGGAAUAUGCAAGGAUAUUGGAGGAAACUGAAUGUCUUCUUUCGCUUGCAUUUCAAGAAGCAAAUGAAGAGACAGAAAGGAUCCUGUGACUCAAAACCAAUAGAACAUGCUCCAGACUCUUCUUUGAUGAACACGGCAGAAUUGCUUCAGACAGUUACCACCCUCUACAUUGCUGCAACUGACUCCAUACAGUAGAACCUCUGUCUACACAGCCUCUUGCAUAGGACACAAAAGACUACUCUGUUUUGGGAGGCCCAGAUGUAAAGAGCAGGAGGUAGGUCAAAUGGUGGCAGAUCACAGGUCUAGUUUUUGUGUUGCAUGAAUUAGCUUGACAUUAAGGUUAAGCUCUGGGAGCAAGCCAUUCUGUCUUGUGAAUUUCUUCACAGGUGAUGGGAUUUUGGCAAUGGUUGAAGCCAAUCUAGUGACAAGGCAAGCAGCUGAAACCUUAUAAUAUUUAUCUUGGCCAGAGAGAAAUUCCCCACUCAUUUGCUGGCUACCUUAUUUGUCCAUCUCCCAAGUAAAAGCAGCCUAGCAGACCUUUUCAGAUAGUGAGAAGCAGUAUUUUCUCAGGUAACACUACACUCAUUUUUAAAAGAGGGGAAAAAAAAAAAUCUCAAAAGCUCACAGCAAUACAAUUCUUUCCAUCCAAUGCAGAGAUGACAGUUCAGUCACUCCUUCCCUCUGCAGCACUGUCUGCAGCGCUCACCUUGGGAAGGUGGAGAGAGAAAUGGCAAAGGAUAAGGGGUCUUGUCCCUGAAAGGAGGGAGGGCUUAGGAGACAGAAAUGGUAACAGCGGCUAGAUGGUGAGGAGAGAAAACUGGUGUGAAUUGGGAAGCAUGACACACGGGGAGACUGCUGAGAACUGACAGGGAGCAGGGGACCGAGGACAGAUAGGCCAGUAGUCAUUGGGGUGGGGGAAGGCUGAUGUUUGUUCUGCAAGCAAGACUGAUAUGGAAGUUGUGGAAGAGAACUGAAUGUGCAGAAGGAGGCAGAAAGAUGUGAGGGCAGGAGGUAUGUGAAGUGCUUGUCAGUAAACUGAAGAGAAUGGCUGAAUAUUUGUUAUAAAGACAUGCUGAGUAUGGUGGAAUAAAAACUUCAAAAUUUGAAAGUUAGGUUGAAAUCCACUGUGUAAGACUUUAAAAGCUUAUAAAUAACAAAAAUCAGAUGCCUAGGAAAUAGAAUUACAGUGGGAUAAACACAAAGUGAUACUUUCCCAAAAUAUGCUUCUGAUCAGACUUCUGAGUCAGAGAUGACAACCUUGCAUUAGAAAAAAAAACCUCAGUAGUUUUCUCUUCUAUCAGUUUGGCUGGUCUCACCUUGAACCUAUCUGAAUUUUUAAAAUUCACAGCACCCUGCAGCAGAGAGCAUCAGAUCUUUGCUCCAGCUGUACCUGCCUCUCUUUCUGUGCACUACUGAGGAACAAGGACAGCAUCACAUCCCUGAAUGAGGGAUCAAGGCCACAUGAGCAAACAGAAUCCUCUCUCCAAAAAUGUCACCACACAGGAGCAUGCAGAUACCUGGGGCUUGGUCAAAAGACAAUGUCAGUCUUUCCAUUGACUCUGUCUUAGUUUCAGGUCUGGAUCCUAAAGCAGACAGAGUUAUUUGUUGAUGUCUUUAGUUAUGAUUUCUUUAAGAGCUUCCCAUCUGUUCAGGUUUGUACUCUAUUUCAUACACAUUUAAAUUUCUGCUGGAUGGAUGUGGUAGAGUGAUGGUUUUGGAAACAUUCUCAUUGUUUUUUAAUUUCUUAUGUGCUGUGUUUUUUACAGAGAUCAGCACAAAAAGGCAAAACACAACCAACUGUGACAGAAUAUAUAAAACAGCAUGAGCUGCCUACAGAUAAAUGAAAACAGUCCAAAAUAAUAGAGACCAAUGUGAAUCAUGACCAAUAAGCAUAUUUGUAAUAAUGUCAUCUAUGUCAGAUAAAAAAAUCACAAAUAUUUAUUAAGAAUACAGAUUAUUAAUAGAGAGACAUCUGAAAUUCAGAUCAUGUCUUUCAGUCCUAAUUGAUAUGAAUUAGCAGCCAAAUCUACUGAAAUAAACCUGACAUUCUCACAGAGGUCAUCAUCAUAUCUAGCAAUUUUUUUUAAAAAAAAAGGAAGGUACAAAGAAGGAGAGAGUAGAUAAGCAUUUUUUUCCUUGUACUAGUAUGACAUAGUUUAGAGAGAUCAGACUGCAUUAGUACUACUAAAGAUGAUAUAAGCAUGACGAUGAUGAGAAAAAACUGGAAGCAGGGUUGAGGGAGAGGCUUCCCCUGGUAGCUGCAGUUCUGACCCAAAUCCUGUAAGCUGCUCCAGGCAAGCAGGUACAUAAAGCCUCAUUUUGAAAUCAGUGGGUUCAAGCCAAGCACAAAAAUCUGUCUAGCUGGGGCAUCAGCCUGCAGUUAUCAUUUACCUCCUUUUGCCAGUCUUUCAGAUGUAGAAUAACACUUUGUUAAUAUGGCACGAGCUUUGAUGUAAUGAAAAAAAGUGACAGGGUAUUUAUUCUUCAACUCUGGUGGUUGCAGAAUUAAGCCAAUCAAUUUAAAAAGUCAUUUUAAAAAACAAGGUCAAUUUUCAGGAGGAGCUAAAUAAAAGCAGUUCUUUCUUAAUGCAAACCUGGCACUAGUGCAUCAUGCAGAUGAUGGAUGAACAGUCUGGAGCUCCUAGAAACAGGCUGAGGUUGUAGCAGCAGUGGGAAUUCUUCCAUCAUACAUUCUGUAUGUUUCACAGCAUAGAUUUCAGGACUUAAACAGGAUUAUACCAAACUGAAAAAAACAGACCUAUAAAAUACCGAAUGUGACUGAAACAAUAUUGGGUUUGGCAUUACUUUUUUGUAUUUCUUCCCUUCCAUGAAGGUAGUGGUGCAUAUGCAAGGUCAAGCUCCUGCUGCCUAUAUUCAAAGAGGAAAAGGAGGGACUCAUAAUGUGACAGUCUGCCUGUGCUGGCUGGGUCUCCAAAGAGAAAUAGUAGCAAAAAUACCUCAUCACUGCUAGUGCUGGUACAGAUAAACCCAGAGAGUUACCACAAUGGGUGCCCAAGUGGAGAUGUUCUGGCAACUGCCAGCAUUUUUACCACCCGACAUGCUAAUUAACCCUCUUCCUACUUGCUGGCACUUCCAGUGGUGUCACUGCUGCUUCAGCAGAACUGGUGGGUAGCCCUGACUGAAAUGUGUCCUGCUUAAUCAUCUAUGCUGUAGCCAGUAGACUGUUUUUUUCAGUGGGCUUCUGAAAAAUUAAAACCCUCUCUUACGGGUAAGAGUUGAGCUAUGUAGGUAAAGGCAAGGCUUCACUACAUGCUUUCAAAGUCAGAGAGUAAAACAAACUCCCAUUGACUUUAGCAGCAGCCAAGAUUUCACCCUGCAUAACAUCUACAUUACUCUUCUAGUGAUUCUGGGGUAGUGUUGAAUAUGAAGUACUCUGCAGUGAUAGAGACAAAGUAGAGUAUUGUGCCACAGUUUGCAUGACUACAGGGAAUAAAGCCCAAAAUAAAAUCUGGAGCUCUCAACUGUAAAUAUCUGUCAGCACAAUAAGCUGCCCCUACUCCCCACUGGAGCUAAUGCCAUCACUGCCAGGCCAGUCUGUAUUUUAAGGAAUAUUCUUGUAGCUGGUUUAUAUUUUCAUUUGCCUUCUGGUACGUCCUACUUACUCAUUUUGAGGUACCUCAAGAAAAUCCUUGUCUUCCUUUAUAUUUAUAUAUUUGGAUCCUUUCAGAUAUUCUUUCCCACCUGUGGCAGUUGUUUUGUGAAGGUCCUGAGUCCUUUGGCUCUUUUCCUUACAAGCCAGCUUCUUGCUCCUAAUGUUGACUUACCUGUCCUGGCCAACUCAGUGCUUAGCCUACUUCCCUGAAUGCCAGAAAGGUCAAAUCUCUGAGUCCCCCACACCGUACAUGGACACAUCCACAACUGCCCACUUUAAAGACAGGAGUACCUUUGUAUCAGGUUCCCACUUAAUUGUAUUUCUAAGACCUACAGAUAUAAUCUUUCUUUUCAUUUACAAGGCAGGAGGAUAUAUAUCUCCCACUUCAGCCUUUAAUUCCCCCCUCUGUGUACAGAUGCAAAAUAAAUUUGUGUUUCUAGAGAAAAGUCUUGUGAAUUUAACAUUACACCUUGAUAUACAGUUAUUACAAGGCAGUUAAUAUGGCAUAAUUUUAAGGACCACCAGGAAAUUUGGCCUGCAGCACAGAGGAAUUAUAAUAGGCUGCUAUGGUAAGAUUUGAAACGAAAUUAACUUCAUGUGAAUACUUAACAGCAAUAGAAUGCAUUUGAAAGAUUGAAAUGCAAGAGUAAUAACGUCACUGGAAAUGUUCAACAUGUAUUUCAAUGCUCAUUCAGAAAUAAAAUAUUUCAGGUAAGAAUUUCAAGGUUCACUAGACUUCCAGUUGAGUAGAAAUUGGAAAAACAUCUCUGAAGGUGACACUAGGCUCUUCUAUGAAUCUAGUCCUUUGCUUUUAUUGCAUAGACCUGGAAAAAAAUGGCAGAACUAAAGUUGUCACAAACAAACAAAUAGCAAUAAUUUACCCUAAGACUAUGGAGCUUUUGUCAUUUACCAAAUACACUGAACAUGGUGUUUUGGAGUCGACUUUAGAAAAAAGCAGAGUUUAAUAUUUUGGUUCAACAGCCGAAUCAAAUAAUCAAUUAUUCACACAACCCAAUCAUUUGAACACCCACCUAAAUCCCAAAAUAGGAGCUUGCCAUUGACAGCAAAGAGUUUGGAUGAACAACUCACAGGGGUGAGUUUCAUUCCCAGGGAAUAUUGAUUUCUGUUAUUUAGGUUUUAUUUUUGAAAAUAUGAAGCACUGUUUCUAUCUUGAAACUAACUCUGCAGGAACAAGCUUUUAUUAAAGGAAUUUUUUCAGUGCAAAUUUUUCUUUACACACAUAUUACUUGAUUUUCCGAAAUAUGUUUCUAGGAGGCAAUGUCAAAAGUACAAUUAAAUGGUGCAGGACUGAGUCCUAAUUGAUGGUGAUAAUAAUUAAAAUGAAUUAUUUCCUGAAAGCUACUUUUUUUUUUUUCCUUUCACCCUCAUUAUUCUGUUUGGAAA